RNAcentral lists this ribosomal RNA (435 nucleotides) under uncultured bacterium. Its description in RNAcentral is "partial 16S ribosomal RNA". It matches the Rfam family "Bacterial small subunit ribosomal RNA", at positions 29 to 507 of the family's 1533-position model. The record is from RNAcentral.
AGCGAACGCUGGCGGCAGGCUUAACACAUGCAAGUCGAACGGGCAUCUUCGGAUGUCAGUGGCAGACGGGUGCGUAACACGUGGGAACGUACCCUUCGGUUCGGAAUAACUCAGGGAAACUUGAGCUAAUACCGGAUACGCCCUUUUGGGGAAAGGUUUACUGCCGAAGGAUCGGCCCGCGUCUGAUUAGCUUGUUGGUGGGGUAACGGCCUACCAAGGCGACGAUCAGUAGCUGGGCUGAGAGGAUGAUCAGCCACACUGGGACUGAGACACGGCCCAGACUCCUACGGGAGGCAGCAGUGGGGAAUAUUGGACAAUGGGCGCAAGCCUGAUCCAGCCAUGCCGCGUGAGUGAUGAAGGCCUUAGGGUUGUAAAGCUCUUUUGUCCGGGACGAUAAUGACGGUACCGGAAGAAUAAGCCCCGGCUAACUUCGUG